CCCNGAUGUAAGGCAGCAGGUGGUCCAGA
This 29-nucleotide non-coding RNA is filed under the name Homo sapiens (human). Lineage: Eukaryota; Metazoa; Chordata; Mammalia; Primates; Hominidae. The record is from RNAcentral.